Molecule: ribosomal RNA, 289 nt
Filed under: uncultured Francisella sp.
Lineage: Bacteria; Pseudomonadati; Pseudomonadota; Gammaproteobacteria; Thiotrichales; Francisellaceae
Description: partial 16S ribosomal RNA
Rfam family: Bacterial small subunit ribosomal RNA
Source: RNAcentral
UCCGUGCCAGCAGCCGCGGUAAUACGGGGGGUGCAAGCGUUAAUCGGAAUUACUGGGCGUAAAGGGUCUGUAGGUGGUUUGUUAAGUCAGAUGUGAAAGCCUAGGGCUCAACCUUAGAACUGCAUUUGAUACUGGUAAACUAGAGUACGGUAGAGGAAUAGGGAAUUUCUGGUGUAGCGGUGAAAUGCGUAGAGAUCAGAAGGAACACCAAUGGCGAAGGCAACAUUCUGGACCGAUACUGACACUGAGGGACGAAAGCGUGGGGAUCAAACAGGAUUAGAUACCCUGG